AAAUAAAAAGAUAAACACAAAAAAAUCUGCAGAUGCUGGAAAUCCAAAACAACAUACACAAAUUGCUGAAGGAACUCAGGAACAAACAGUGGACGUUACGGGCUAAGACACUUCAGGACCCUAUUUCAAGUACAUCCACUGCAGCAUUUCAUCAAACAAAUUCUGUAUCCUCAAAGCAUUCUUCACAACAUGGAAAUCUUUUCCAAAGGAUAUUUUAAAAAUCUACAAGACAAAACAAUGUUAAAAUUUACAGUGGUAAAUUUUGGAACACACUUAAUACAAAGUUAUACUGCACAAUACAAAAGUGUCAAUACAAACUCUUAAUGCAAAGAGUUGUAUCAGGGGUAUCUUUAUUGCCACCAAGGCAGUGUAUGGCCUAAACCCCCUUCUCUCCAAAAAUGGACAAAGGCCUCUAAAGGACAAUGAUACCAUCAAUUCUCGAUGGAAGGAACACUUUCAGGAGCUACUACUGUAGACAUUGAAGUCAUCAACCAGCUCCCACGACAACCUAUGAAUGAAGACACGAGUAAGCCUCCUAGUAUCUACGAAGUGAAGGCAGCUUGCAAGAAAUUGAGAAACAAGGCCACUGUACCUGAUGGAAUUCCAGCAGAAAUCCUCAAGAAAGGUGGCACAGAACUUCUAAAUUAUAUUCAUGACCUGCUUGUCAAGAUCUGGAAUCAGAAGACGAUUCCAUCUGAAUUCAAGGACACCCUGAUUGUCAACACUUAUCAAAAAAAGUGACAAAGCCAAUUGCGAAAAUUAUAGAGGCAUCUCCCUCCUCUCUACAACAGGAAAAGUACUCAGCCAAAUUUUAUGUGACUGGCUUUCACCUCUGGCAGAAGAUCUCCUGCCUGAGUCUUAGUGUGGCUUUCAUCCAGCCAGAGGAACAUCUGAUAUGUUUUUUUUUAAACAGCACAUUAAUUGCAGAAGAAAACCUGGGAACAAAAUCUCCCACUUUAUAUGGCCUUCAUAGACCUUACAAAAGCAUUUGACUAAAUCGUCCUGCCCUUUGGCAGGUACUGUCCAAAACCGGAUGCCUGGAGAAAUACCUCAAGAUCCUGCAGCUCUUGCACUCCUAUCAUUGUUUAACAGUCAUCAGCAACAGCAGCUCUGAAACAGCACCUUUUAAAGUUGAGACCAGGGUCAACUAGGGGUGCAUCAUUGCCCCAACUCUGCUUGCCAUUUCAUUGCAACGAUUCUUCACCUCACAGGCCAAGACCUCCCACAAGGAGUCCAGAUUCUCUAUAGGACAGAUGGAGGGCUCUUAAAAGGUUCAAGGUAAACAGCAAGGUGUCAACUACUUCUGUCAUGGAGUUCCAAUAUGCAGACAACAACGCCAUCACAGCUCACUCUGAGAAUCUGCAGUGCAUAAUGGAUGCCUUUGCCGGAGUAUACAAGUUCCUGGGACUUGAUCUAAACAUCACGAAAACCCAAAUCUUGCAACAACCUGCUCCAGAUCAAGCUUCUAAACCUCCAACCAUCCAAGUUGACAACAUUCCUCUGGAGAACACUGAUCAUUUCUCAUAUCUUGGCAACUUUCUUUCUUCAAGAGCCGACAUUGACCUUGAAGUAAAAUGCAAAAUAGGCUGUGUGAGUGCAGCUUUUGCCAGGCUGAGAAAGAGGGUUUUUGAAGAUUAGGAUAUCAAAGCCAACACUAAGCUUCUGGUCUAUAAAGCUAUAGUCCUCUCUUCCUUGCUAUAUGGAGUAGAGUCACAGACAACAUAUAACAGACACAUAAACUACCUAGAAACUUCCCAUCACAGAUGCCUCCAAAAUAUUCUUAAUUAGCUAGAAGAACAGGCAUACUAAUUCCAGCAUCCUGGAGGAAGCAAACAUUAACUCCAUAGCCACAAUCAUGACUCAACACCAAUUGCGACAGGUCAGCCACAGAAUCCGUAUGCCUGCCUCCUGCCUCCCACCUCCCUAAACAACUCCUGUUCGGCCAACUUAUGGAUGCAAAGCGAACUCCUAGAGGGCAGAAAAAGUGGUUCAAGGACAGUAUCAAGACCCACCUGAGGAAGUGCCACAUCAACCUGAAUGGAUAGGAGAGCUUAGCACAGGAUAGGAAAAGCUGUCUAUGAGGGGACUGCACAGCUCGAAGAAUACCUCCACCAUGCCGCUGAGACUAAGCAGCUUCAAUGUAAGGAGAGACUGGGAAAAGGCCCAACCAGCUACAUCCACCACCACUUCAAUGACUUACACCUGCCAACAUUGGAAUAGGACUUGUGAAUCACGGAUCGGCAUUUUUUAAUUCAGGAGGAGGGCUGGGCAUGGGGAUAGCAACCCUAUCCCAUAAAAAAAAGUGCUACAAGAAUGUCAACAGAAGUUCUAAAACCUCAUCCCUGGGAGAGGAAGGAUACACCAAGAAGAUGGGUUACACCUGGAGACAACAUGAAGGACUGGCCCAGCUCAUAGAAGUCUGGUGAGCUACUGUCCGCUGUCUAUGCCCCAGUAGUGGUGAUUGGGCUUAAGUAAGUUCACUUUCAGACCAAUUCUUGUGGAGGGCUGAAGUUGAAGGCCAAGGAACAAGGUCCGUGGCAGGGACUGAAAAGAAUACCUAUGGUUUGCUCACUAUUUUAUUGGGAGAAAUUUUAUUUUUCAUCUUGUCCUGGAUGUCAAACGUACCGCUUAACAACUUAAAGGUGGUGGGGGGGUAGAAAUCAGAAAGAAUGAAGUAGAGAUGCAUCUAAUAUAGGAAGCCUGAGGUUUUUCAAAUAAUGUUGCCAAGAAAUAGAGGGGUUAAUAAAGCACUAUUGGGAGACACUACAUCCUCUUGUACUAGUGUACCAAGCAGUCUUUAACUGGAAAGACAAGGAUAGGAAAAGCUUCAUGUGAUCCCAUCCAGAUGGACUUAGAAAAGCAAUGGAGUCAUCUAAUCAAAUCUACAAUGAACUGCAGACAGGUCAAAAAGGAUUUUUUAAAAAAGUAGUCACAAAUGAUAAAGAAUUUCACUCAUGAUUCAUUAGCCAUUUUGGUAGUAUUCCAGUUGUGGAAACUCAAAAAAGUCAAAGAAAUUCUUCAACAUUUGGAAACAAAUGACUCCACCACAAAAAAUAAACUUGAGUUGAAACCUUGUCAAUUCAACUUCAGUACAAAAUUAGAUGCAGAACCAAACUUUCCUGAUAUUUAAGUCAAACCCAUUUAAUAUAUGUCUAUUAAACAAUGUUCUGUAUUAGUAAAUCUGAAUAGGUCUUUGUAAUAAAAUGCCAUGCAGAAAAAUUAGCACUUAUUUAUAAAACAGA
This is a long non-coding RNA of Mobula hypostoma (lesser devil ray), 3242 nucleotides long. RefSeq lists it as uncharacterized. The record is from RefSeq and is a predicted model, not a curated record. The transcript has 3 exons. Lineage: Eukaryota; Metazoa; Chordata; Chondrichthyes; Myliobatiformes; Myliobatidae.